AUGCGUUAAUUGACUUUUCCUUACUCAAAUCACGCACUUUCUCCUCUGUGUUUUUUUUAUUUUGUUUUUGUUUUCCCGUCCAGUGCUUUUAAUCAUUUUUUUCCACUUUUUUCUCUUUUAAUAAAAUAAUUCCUCUUUUUUUUCUUUUUUUAAAUAUUUAUAUUAGGAAUUUCUUUUAGUGUAAGCAUGAUGUAUAUAUCUUUAAAAUGAAACUGACAACCAAUGAUUUUGUGAUAAAAAACAUAUAAUAAAUUUUAAAUAUUUUUGAGUGGAUAUCUCUGCGGGAUUUCGUUUAAAACGAACGAAUAUAAUAUAUUAAAGUGGAUUAUUCCACGGGUUUAAAUAACUAGUCUCUAUAAUAAUAGCCGUAUUUUGUGUGUUCAAAAGGGUUACCGAUAUUCCUUUGAUAUUUCCGCGAAUUUUUAGAAACCAGGGGGUUGUUUAAUUGAAAAUCUUAUGAUUUAUCAAAAUAAAUUACAGAAAUUAAUUAUUUCCAUACAUAAUUUAAUUAAUUUUAUUGAUAAACCUCUAAUUUAAAAACACAUUAAGUGAUUAAAAUGAAUGCAUUAUUUUAAUACGCCAUUUUUAAUAAUAAUUACCCCCGUGACCUCAAUCGCCGUUUUCGCUCAGGAGCUACAGAAAACAAAUGAAACAUUUUACUGAUAGUUUUACUGACCUUGUUUUGACCGCUCGCACACAAUACACUAAUCAAAACGCUUGAUUCUCUUUAAAAAACCAGUCCAAGACUUUCGCGGCCUGGGCAAACGAAGAAACAUGAGGACCGAACAUGAUGGCUAUUUCAGUUUUUAAAGUAAUGCUGGUCCUUCAAGAUGUCGCAAAAGUUCUAUUUAAAGCGAGUAUUGCAUGCAACAAAUUCUUUGUGGGUUUUGUUCAUCCAGAUAAGCAAUUGAAAGCAUCACAGUGAACGAAUAAGAAAUUUCUUCUUUGGCAAUAUUGACAAAAGUAUGGAUGAUAAUCUUGACAGUAUGAGCAGCACGAAAUAUAUGAUCUAUUGUCCAUUUUGUGACCAAUAUCAGAACAUAUGGUUACAACACAUUGGUUACAAUAAAGUUGACGUAAUAGAGGGAGAAAGGAGGUCUCCAGUUUUCAGAUAAAUAACGAACGAGUGAUUGGCAGUAGAGGAGGAUAAAGAAUAAAGCUACCAUUCGUGAAUGAACCAAAGACCUGACUUUGUUAUCCUCCACAACUCACCAAAAAAAUACAUGAGAGAUGAUAUAAUUAGCUAGGGAAGAAAUCAAGCAUAAGCUCAUUUGUUAUCAGCUUCUAAAGGAACGCUGCCUAUAGAUAUUAAAAAGUUAGAGUGAAACUAAACAUUAUGGCUAGCAUGGAACUAUUUAUUGUCAAGUGCGUGGUUACUGCAUCCAUGAGAGAGAAAAUAAGUAAAAUCAAGUGUCAGUUUUCAAAAAGAAGCGUAACAAUCGAAAAGGCAAGCCAAGAAAAGUCGCUUUACAAGCAAGCGUACAAUGGUUACUCAAAAUUGAAGCAAAAUCAGGUUAUUAGCACAGUGUCAAGGUAUACAGAGAAAUCAAUGUGCAUUGGACGAAUAGGAUUUGAAAAAGACAAAUGGAACAACUUGUCUUUUAUUACAUGGCUUCCAAAAAAGUUUUCUUAUAUACAUGGUUAUAUAUAUAUACAGUUUUUAUAUUAUACUUUGGUAUUUUAUUUACCUAACUGCCACUGCCAUUUGUAGCUGUAAUUGUUGGAAAAGAAAUUUACCAUAUAAACAGCAAGUUAACCAAACUUUGUUUAAAUCUAGAGUAUUCGGCUAGCACUACUCUUAGGCAUACCAAAUCGAAUAGCUAUAUUCUUAACAGUGAAAAGGGGAAGUGCAGUCUACUCAAAAUUAUAAAAAAUCUUCUGUGCUACUUGUUUUUUGAUAGUCCACUGUUAGUACUACAAGUAUUUUUAAUCAUCGUGUUUGAACCCAAGUAUACAAGUGAAUCUACGCGGGCUGAAAAUAUUCUAGCACAGCCUUCAAAAAAUCAUAGCUUCCAUAGCCUGUACAAAAUUUGAAGUGAGCACUGUCAUGUUUUUACCGCUCAACUGUAAAUUUGUGUGCAUUUAUUUUUAUGUUAAAUAUGAUAUUUCAGUCUUUUUUUUCAAAUUUAUGUGUAAUGUUUGCUAGCUUACUGUAACUUCUCCUCCUGUGUCAAUUCUCUUUCUGUUUUUAUUCUUGUGAUGGUAACUUUUUAUGGUUAAGCAUUCCUUUGAAGCCAUAGGUUUUAUAGAUGAUAUAUUGUUCAUAUUGAUUUUCCUUUCUUUAAAGUGAGCAGAAAUAACUAAGUGAAGUUGUUGGCUUAAAACUUUUUCCGCUAAUUUUUGAAGGCCAUUUUUUUCUUGCGAAUAACAAAUGUUUUUUGUACCAAGGUUUUUGGCAUAAUGAGCCUGCUACAAAUAAGAAUUUAAAAUGCUUACUUGGCCACGUCACCGUCCAUAAAAACAUUUGUCUCAAUGCCCCUCAUAGGUAUUAGGGUAAAAUAAUUUCAAUAAAUAACAAUUUCAUUAUACGUUUUGAAUAAUAAAACAUCUCUAUACUGCAAUCAACGAUUUUUUAACUGUCUUAACCAUAUUCGGUCCGGGGGGCGGAUUCCGCCCCUCCCCCCUGACGGUUUUUUUUAAUAACUCCUGAUUGCUUUGUUAUAUGGCUAUGAUACUUAUUGAGUUUAAACAUUUAUGUAUUGGACACCUGCAUGCUUAUUUU
This is a long non-coding RNA of Hydractinia symbiolongicarpus, 2722 nucleotides long. RefSeq lists it as uncharacterized. The record is from RefSeq and is a predicted model, not a curated record. NCBI's taxonomy places the organism in Eukaryota, Metazoa, Cnidaria, Hydrozoa, Anthoathecata, Hydractiniidae. The transcript is spliced from 3 exons.